Molecule: ribosomal RNA, 1343 nt
Filed under: uncultured bacterium
Lineage: Bacteria
Description: 16S ribosomal RNA
Rfam family: Bacterial small subunit ribosomal RNA
Source: RNAcentral
GACGAACGCUGGCGGCGUGCUUAACACAUGCAAGUCGAACGGAAAGGCCCUGCUUUUGUGGGGUGCUCGAGUGGCGAACGGGUGAGUAACACGUGAGUAACCUGCCCUUGACUUUGGGAUAACUUCAGGAAACUGGGGCUAAUACCGGAUAGGAGCUCCUGCUGCAUGGUGGGGGUUGGAAAGUUUCGGCGGUUGGGGAUGGACUCGCGGCUUAUCAGCUUGUUGGUGGGGUAGUGGCUUACCAAGGCUUUGACGGGUAGCCGGCCUGAGAGGGUGACCGGCCACAUUGGGACUGAGAUACGGCCCAGACUCCUACGGGAGGCAGCAGUGGGGAAUAUUGCACAAUGGGCGGAAGCCUGAUGCAGCGACGCCGCGUGCGGGAUGACGGCCUUCGGGUUGUAAACCGCUUUCGCCUGUGACGAAGCGUGAGUGACGGUAAUGGGUAAAGAAGCACCGGCUAACUACGUGCCAGCAGCCGCGGUGAUACGUAGGGUGCGAGCGUUGUCCGGAUUUAUUGGGCGUAAAGGGCUCGUAGGUGGUUGAUCGCGUCGGAAGUGUAAUCUUGGGGCUUAACCCUGAGCGUGCUUUCGAUACGGGUUGACUUGAGGAAGGUAGGGGAGAAUGGAAUUCCUGGUGGAGCGGUGGAAUGCGCAGAUAUCAGGAGGAACACCAGUGGCGAAGGCGGUUCUCUGGGCCUUUCCUGACGCUGAGGAGCGAAAGCGUGGGGAGCGAACAGGCUUAGAUACCCUGGUAGUCCACGCUGUAAACGGUGGGUACUAGGUGUGGGGUCCAUUCCACGGGUUCCGUGCCGUAGCUAACGCUUUAAGUACCCCGCCUGGGGAGUACGGCCGCAAGGCUAAAACUCAAAGGAAUUGACGGGGCCCCGCACAAGCGGCGGAGCAUGCGGAUUAAUUCGAUGCAACGCGUAGAACCUUACCUGGGUUUGACAUGGAUCGGGAGCGCUCAGAGAUGGGUGUGCCUCUUUUGGGGUCGGUUCACAGGUGGUGCAUGGCUGUCGUCAGCUCGUGUCGUGAGAUGUUGGGUUAAGUCCCGCAACGAGCGCAACCCUUGUUCACUGUUGCCAGCACGUUAUGGUGGGGACUCAGUGGAGACCGCCGGGGUCAACUCGGAGGAAGGUGGGGAUGACGUCAAGUCAUCAUGCCCCUUAUGUCCAGGGCUUCACGCAUGCUACAAUGGCUGGUACAGAGAGUGGCGAGCCUGUGAGGGUGAGCGAAUCUCGGAAAGCCGGUCUCAGUUCGGAUUGGGGUCUGCAACUCGACCUCAUGAAGUCGGAGUCGCUAGUAAUCGCAGAUCAGCAACGCUGCGGUGAAUACGUUCCCGGG